RNAcentral lists this ribosomal RNA (429 nucleotides) under Gemmatimonadota bacterium. Its description in RNAcentral is "Gemmatimonadetes bacterium partial 16S ribosomal RNA". It matches the Rfam family "Bacterial small subunit ribosomal RNA", at positions 355 to 776 of the family's 1533-position model. The record is from RNAcentral. Lineage: Bacteria; Pseudomonadati; Gemmatimonadota.
UAGGGAAUCUUCGGCAAUGGACGAAAGUCUGACCGAGCAACGCCGCGUGAGUGAAGAAGGUUUUCGGAUCGUAAAACUCUGUUGUUAGAGAAGAACAAGGACGUUAGUAACUGAACGUCCCCUGACGGUAUCUAACCAGAAAGCCACGGCUAACUACGUGCCAGCAGCCGCGGUAAUACGUAGGUGGCAAGCGUUGUCCGGAUUUAUUGGGCGUAAAGCGAGCGCAGGCGGUUUCUUAAGUCUGAUGUGAAAGCCCCCGGCUCAACCGGGGAGGGUCAUUGGAAACUGGGAUACAUGAGUGCAGAAGAGGAGAGUGGAAUUCCAUGUGUAGCGGUGAAAUGCGUAGAUAUAUGGAAGAACACCAGUGGCGAAGGCGGCUCUCUGGUCUGUAACUGACGCUGAGGCUCGAAAGCGUGGGGAGCAAACAGG